UGCAGUCGAACGCUGAAGCUCCAGCUUGCUGGGGUGGAUGAGUGGCGAACGGGUGAGUAACACGUGAGUAACCUUCCCUUGACUCUGGGAUAAGCCCGGGAAACUGGGUCUAAUACCGGAUAUGACCUCCUGUCGCAUGGUGGGGGGUGGAAAGAUUUAUCGGUCUUGGAUGGACUCGCGGCCUAUCAGCUUGUUGGUGAGGUAAUGGCUCACCAAGGCGACGACGGGUAGCCGGCCUGAGAGGGUGACCGGCCACACUGGGACUGAGACACGGCCCAGACUCCUACGGGAGGCAGCAGUGGGGAAUAUUGCACAAUGGGCGCAAGCCUGAUGCAGCGACGCCGCGUGAGGGAUGACGGCCUUCGGGUUGUAAACCUCUUUCAGUAGGGAAGAAGCCUUCGGGUGACGGUACCUGCAGAAGAAGCGCCGGCUAACUACGUGCCAGCAGCCGCGGUAAUACGUAGGGCGCGAGCGUUAUCCGGAAUUAUUGGGCGUAAAGAGCUCGUAGGCGGUUUGUCGCGUCUGCCGUGAAAGUCCGGGGCUUAACCCCGGAUCUGCGGUGGGUACGGGCAGACUAGAGUGCAGUAGGGGAGACCGGAAUUCCUGGUGUAGCGGUGAAAUGCGCAGAUAUCAGGAGGAACACCGAUGGCGAAAGCAGGUCUCUGGGCUGUUACUGACGCUGAGGAGCGAAAGCAUGGGGAGCGAACAGGAUUAGAUACCCUGGUAGUCCAUGCCGUAAACGUUGGGCACUAGGUGUGGGGGACAUUCCACGUUUUCCGCGCCGCAGCUAACGCAUUAAGUGCCCCGCCUGGGGAGUACGGCCGCAAGGCUAAAACUCAAAGGAAUUGACGGGGGCCCGCACAAGCGGCGGAGCAUGCGGAUUAAUUCUAUGCGACGCGAAGAACCUUACCAAGGCUUGACAUGUUCUCGAUCGCCACAGAGAUGUGGUUUCCCCUU
RNAcentral lists this ribosomal RNA (957 nucleotides) under Citricoccus parietis. RNAcentral describes it as "bacterial SSU rRNA". It matches the Rfam family "Bacterial small subunit ribosomal RNA", at positions 56 to 1020 of the family's 1533-position model. Lineage: Bacteria; Bacillati; Actinomycetota; Actinomycetes; Micrococcales; Micrococcaceae. The record is from RNAcentral.